CCUACGGGUGGCUGCAGUGAGGAAUAUUGGUCAAUGGGCGGAAGCCUGAACCAGCCAAGUAGCGUGCAGGAUGACGGCCCUACGGGUUGUAAACUGCUUUUAUACGGGAAUAACGCGCCUUACGUGUAGGGCUUUGCAUGUACCGUAUGAAUAAGGAUCGGCUAAUUCCGUGCCAGCAGCCGCGGUAAUACGGAAGGUCCGGGCGUUAUCCGGAAUGACUGGGCGUAAAGGGUGCGUAGGUGGUUUGACAAGUUAGUAGCGUAACUCCAAGGCUCAACCUUGGAACUACUACUAAAACUGUUGGACUUGAGUGCAGGAGAGGCAACCGGAAUUCCUGGUGUAGCGGUGGAAUGCGUAGAUAUUAGGAAGAACACCAGUGGCGAAGGCAGGUUGCUGGACUGUAACUGACACUGAGGCACGAAAGCGUGGGGAGCGAACAGGAUUAGAUACCCUUGUAGUC
This 460-nucleotide ribosomal RNA is filed under the name uncultured bacterium. RNAcentral's name for it is "partial 16S ribosomal RNA". It matches the Rfam family "Bacterial small subunit ribosomal RNA", at positions 338 to 795 of the family's 1533-position model. The record is from RNAcentral.